AUCCACAUUUCAGCCAUUUAUUUCAUUUAACCGUGAGUCUUUCUUUUAUUCAUUUAGUAAUCCAAAUUAUUUUUUUUGAAAAUAGUAACCCAAGUAUAUCAAGGAUUUCAUUAUUUAUCUUCACUGUUGCAUUCUAAAAUAAAAGUCUGCAACAAAUCUCAAUUAUCCAACCACAACCGCCAUACUCCUCUCUUAUCCCGUUUCCUCACCGCCAUACAUAUAUAUCAGAUUCAAUCACCUAUCUAUAUCUUAUUUCAUCCUUUUUCUAUAUCUGAAAUUUGCAAUCGUAAACUUAUCCAGCAAGAAAAUCAAGUUCUUUCCUUUCACUGCAGAGGUGUGGCGCGACUAGGACGUAAAUUUUGAUUGAGUUUCUCAAAGUUAGCCUUCAAGUUCAAGUUUUCAGGUAUUUUUCACGUUGGAGACGCGUGGAGGGUCGAAUGGGCGCAUCAAGUCAUUUUGAAAAUAGUUGAUUCAAAUAUUUAAAGUUUUACUUAGUAGUUAAACAUUUUCAUGAUAUCUUUAUGUCAUGCUUUGGUACGAAGAUGUUGAUUUUUGAUUUUCAAUUAAAGUUAAUAUUUGAAUA
This is a long non-coding RNA of Salvia miltiorrhiza (redroot sage), 583 nucleotides long. RefSeq lists it as uncharacterized. The transcript has 3 exons. The record is from RefSeq and is a predicted model, not a curated record. Lineage: Eukaryota; Viridiplantae; Streptophyta; Magnoliopsida; Lamiales; Lamiaceae.